UAGGGAAUCUCCGGCAAUGGGGGGAACCCUGACCGAGCAACGCCGCGUGAGUGAAGAAGGUUUUCGGAUCGUAAAGCUCUGUUGUUAAGGAAGAACGAGUGUGAGAAUGGAAAGUUCAUGCUGUGACGGUACUUAACCAGAAAGGGACGGCUAACUACGUGCCAGCAGCCGCGGUAAUACGUAGGUCCCGAGCGUUGUCCGGAUUUAUUGGGCGUAAAGCGAGCGCAGGCGGUUAGAAAAGUCUGAAGUGAAAGGCAGUGGCUCAACCAUUGUAGGCUUUGGAAACUGUUUAACUUGAGUGCAGAAGGGGAGAGUGGAAUUCCAUGUGUAGCGGUGAAAUGCGUAGAUAUAUGGAGGAACACCGGUGGCGAAAGCGGCUCUCUGGUCUGUAACUGACGCUGAGGCUCGAAAGCGUGGGGAGCGAACAGG
This 429-nucleotide ribosomal RNA is filed under the name Verrucomicrobiota bacterium. Its description in RNAcentral is "Verrucomicrobia bacterium partial 16S ribosomal RNA". It matches the Rfam family "Bacterial small subunit ribosomal RNA", at positions 355 to 776 of the family's 1533-position model. The record is from RNAcentral. Lineage: Bacteria; Pseudomonadati; Verrucomicrobiota.